Cydia splendana is the source of this 1120-nucleotide long non-coding RNA. RefSeq lists it as uncharacterized. Lineage: Eukaryota; Metazoa; Arthropoda; Insecta; Lepidoptera; Tortricidae. The transcript is spliced from 5 exons. The record is from RefSeq and is a predicted model, not a curated record.
GGCCUGUUUUUAGGUACAUACAUACAUAUAAUCACGCUUAUUUCCCGGAGGGGUAGGCAGAGACCACGGAUUUCCACUUGCUACGAUCCUGACAUACCUCUUUCGCUUCCUUCACUUUCAUAACAUUCCUCAUACACGCUCGCCGGUUUAGGGUGCCUAAUAUAGUAGUAGUAGGGUGUAUAGUAGGUACGUUUCCUACAAUGGUUUUUUUGUCCCUUAUAAUUCUCCCAUUCCUUGUCCCACUAUGCAGCACCGAGAUACAAAAAUUGGUACUUGGAGGGAAAAACGUGACGGACAUAGGACAGUUUCCACACGCUCUGUACAUUCUUUUUACUUGUCCCGGCGAAACCGGCACAUGGUUGUGUGGAGGGUCCAUAUUGACUCAAAAUAUAUUUCUGACGGCGGCGCACUGUAUGAAUAUGCAGUGUAAUAUGAAAGUAGAGGCGGUUGCGGGUAGUGAAGAUAUUGGAAAGGCCAAGAGCAUAAUACGAAUCAUCGACAAAUACACACGACACGAAUAUUUCGACGAGCAAGGGCCAUCGAUGCGCAACGAUAUCGCACUGUUGGCUGCAAAGGUGCCCCUGCCGCUAGGAAGGAAUGUAAAACGAGUCGUGUUGAACAGACGCUUUCCAAUAAACACAACUAUGGUGGCCGUUGCUGGGUGGGGAAGGUAUUCCGUAACUAGUACCGAUUGGUCAAAAAACCUGAAGUACGUAUGGCAGUUUAUUAAACCCGAAAGAUAUUGCCAAAAACGUUUAGGAGAAUCUUUGUGGGCUGGUCAGAUGUGUGCUUCAAAUGACGUUAAACAUUACCCAACUAUCCACGACUCCGGAUGCGCGUUGGUCACCAAAUCCGGACACCAACUAGGCCUGGUGUCCUACAGGAUACCCACAGCGCCCGACGUCGUCGUAUACACGAAUAUCACCCAUUUCAUUCCGUGGAUAAGGAAGCAAGCACGCAUAUUGUUCUGUGCAGUAUCCAAAUUGCCAAAAGAAACAAAUGAUGAUGAUUAUUACGGGGAGGAUCCGAAUGAAGAACCAGACAAGAAUACUUUAAUGCAUAAAUUAGACACUGAUUUAAACUUUCACGAUUUUUAAACAUUAUUAAAUUGCACAACGGG